ACGUGAAUACCAGAGAUUCUGAGCUAUGACAUUGCGUUUAAGUCUUUUGGAAAGUGACUUUAGAAAAGACUUCAAGGCGGAAUUCUGAACUGCAAUGUAAUGUGCAUGACAGCCUUGGAAGUCUCAUCAGAAAAAGUUCAAAUUUCUUCCAUUGGAGGCCUCAAAUUCAACUUCUUGAUUCGUCAAAGAGGAUUUUAGUCCAAGAGAUGCAGGCCUUUGAUGGUCGAACUUCCUUUUUAUCUCAAGCAAUUCACGAACAUAAAUUAUGGGAAUAUCACCAGGCUGAACCAUAGUACCAGUUUCGCUGUCUUGUGAAGAGAGGACCCCGAGUCCACAAACUUGAAGGAGAAAGAGAGCACAUAAGUCACUUUCCAUUGUAACACCUGACAAUAUUAUUGAUUUUUGAAUUCAGAAGGGGUGUCAUCAGAUUGAAUGCGUCUGCUCCCAUGUAUGACCCACCAUUUCGAUUUUGUUGACAAGCGCCAAUAACAACUGAAAUCCAACUCUCUGAGUCUUUACAUCAUGCUGUCCACAAGCAUCCUUCAGAAACCUAAUCAGUGGUUCAAUAAAAUUCUUAGAUGAUAGCGAAUGCCAAAGUUGAUCAUCACCCUUCAAGUCUUUUUCUGCAUCUUCGAUCACCUGACAUUUAGGACUUCUGUGGAUGUGUAUCAAGUUCAGAUAAAAACUUCAAAUCUGUCUCAGGUUUAUCCGCAUACCAUGACAUCUGCGAGAUUCAUUACUAGUCUUCACGGAAAUCAAAUUUAAGCCAUCUCUGAUAUUAAUGCAUGAUGAGCCUGAACUGUGACGAUUAUCUAAAGAUUCAAGUAAUAUACUGUUGAUAUCUACUGCAACUCUUUGAGAACUGAGGCCUCAGAAUUACUUGUGCAUGGUUUUUUAUCAAAUGAUACUUGCAAAGAAUCACUGCCAGGCCUUACCACAGAAUCUAAUUGCUGUACUGAAAUUAUUCAGGUUGAAAUUUAUGGCUUCUCCAUUGUCAAUGUACCUGCUAUCUAAGAAGAUAGCAAGGUGCUCUAUUGCAAGAACACAGCUGGCUGAUUGUCCUGUGAAGCACUCGUUAUCUGAUCCAAGCACUCGUUCAGCAUCUCCAGAAACACUUUACCCUUCUUUGACGUUCUUGAAGUGUGUUUCCCAAGCAUACAGCUUCAGGAUUUUUAUGUUUAGAAGUGGUUCUGUAAUAGCCUUCAGCUUCCAUAACCAGAAUUUUAUCGACUUCGAAGAGAAACUCCACUUGAUGAGCCACCAGAAUUAUAGUUUUAUGAGCAAGAGCAGCUAUGACUUUUUCAUUGAGAGGAAUUGCAGCUUUGGGGGAAGGCCAA
Vitis riparia (riverbank grape) is the source of this 1337-nucleotide long non-coding RNA. RefSeq lists it as uncharacterized. Lineage: Eukaryota; Viridiplantae; Streptophyta; Magnoliopsida; Vitales; Vitaceae. The transcript has 2 exons. The record is from RefSeq and is a predicted model, not a curated record.